UACCAGCACCCCGAGUGGUCGGGACGUUUAUUGGGCCUAAAGCAUCCGUAGCCGGUUCUACAAGGCUCCCGUUAAAUCCACCUGCUUAACAGAUGGGCUGCGGAAGAUACUAUAGAGCUAGGAGGCGGGAGAGGCAAGCGGUACUCGAUGGGUAGGGGUAAAAUCCGUUGAUCCAUUGAAGACCACCAGUGGCGAAGGCGGCUUGCCAGAACGCGCUCGACGGUGAGGGAUGAAAGCUGGGGGAGCAAACCGG
Molecule: ribosomal RNA, 253 nt
Filed under: uncultured bacterium
Lineage: Bacteria
Description: partial 16S ribosomal RNA
Rfam family: Archaeal small subunit ribosomal RNA
Source: RNAcentral